ACCUAAACAGCUGAACACUUCUCAUCUUAACAUAGCAGCCGCAGCAGCCAUUUGAGAGAAAGAGAGAGAGGCUCGUCGGUGUAGAUCUGGAACGACCCCGUCCAACCAACAACGAUGGCAAUCCGUUUCCGUCUCCAUAGACCACGUCCAGCCCAUCCUUCUCCGCUUUCAGUCCGACCCCGUUGCCGCCCCUCGCUUAUAGAAUAAAGACUGAAGCUUUUGCUUCUGGGUAGCAUGAUGAUGGAGACUGAUGAAACAUGAUCUGAUAUGACUUUGUAAUUGAUGAUAUUCAUAUUUUAGACUUUGUAAUUGAGAUAUUGGAAUAGUCAAUUACUGAAAAUUAUGGCAUCAAUCCUACAUGUGAACAUUUUGCUUGUGAUCUACUUGGUCGAGCUGGGUUACUGAAGGAGGCCAGGAAUUUGAUUGAUGCAAUGCCCUUUAAGUCAAAUGCUGCUAUCUGGUGGGCUCUUCUCGGUGCUUGUCGGCUUCAUCGUGAUUAUAAUUUAGCAGGAUUUGCAGCAAGAAAUUUGCUUGAAUUAGAUUUAGAUGAUUCUGGCAGUUAUGUCCUUCUAGCUAAUACAUAUUCAAAUUGUGGACAACUAGAAUUAUUCAUAUAUAUUUUUUUUUUCGAGUGUUUA
This is a long non-coding RNA of Rosa chinensis, 638 nucleotides long. RefSeq lists it as uncharacterized. Lineage: Eukaryota; Viridiplantae; Streptophyta; Magnoliopsida; Rosales; Rosaceae. The record is from RefSeq and is a predicted model, not a curated record. The transcript is spliced from 2 exons.